Molecule: ribosomal RNA, 1245 nt
Filed under: metagenome
Description: bacterial LSU rRNA
Rfam family: Bacterial large subunit ribosomal RNA
Source: RNAcentral
UGAGUACGAGACGCUAAGGCGUCGAAGUAGUGGAUGUCAUACUUCCAAGAAAAGCUUGCACUGUCAUAAGUAAAAAACGCCUGUACCAUAACCGACGCAGGUGGGUAGGUAGAGUAUACUAAGGGGCGCGAGAUAACUCUCUCUAAGGAACUCGGCAAAAUAACUCCGUAACUUCGGGAGAAGGAGUGCCUUAUUCGUAAGGCUGCAAUAACAAGAUCCAAGCAACUGUUUAUCAAAAACACAGGUCUCCGCUAAGUCGUAAGACGAUGUAUGGGGGCUGACGCCUGCCCAGUGCCAGAAGGUUAAAGAAGUCGGUUAGCAUUAGCGAAGCUGGUAACUGAAGCCCUGGUGAACGGCGGCCGUAACGAUAACGGUCCUAAGGUAGCGAAAUUCCUUGUCGGGUAAGUUCCGACCCGCACGAAAGGCGUAAUGAUUUGGAUACUGUCUCGGAGAGGGGCUCGGUGAAAUAGACUUGUCUGUGAAGACGCGGACUACCUGCACCAGGACAGAAAGACCCUAUGAAGCUUUACUGUAACUUGAAAUUGAAAUUGGACUUUAUUCGCGCAGUAUAGGUGGGAGGUGUUGAUUAUAAUCUUGCGGGAUUAUUGGAGCCAUCAGUGAGAUACCACUCUUGUAAUGUUAGAUUUCUAACUUUGAAUCAUUAUCUGGUCAAAGAACAGUUUCAGGCGGGCAGUUUGACUGGGGCGGUCGCCUCCUAAAUGGUAACGGAGGCGUACAAAGGUUUCCUCUGAACGGGUAGAAAUCGUAUCUAGAGUGUAAAGGCAUAAGGAAGCUUGACUGUGAGACCUACAAGUCGAGCAGGGACGAAAGUCGGUCUUAGUGAUCUGACGGUACUGAGUGGAAAGGCCGUCACUCAACGGAUAAAAGUUACUCUAAGGAUAACAGGCUGAUCUCCCCCAAGAGUUCACAUCGACGGGGAGGUUUGGCACCUGGAUGUCGGCUCAUCGCAUCCUGGGGCGGUAGUACGUCCCAAGGGUUGGGCUGUUCGCCCAUGAAAGCGGUACGCGAGCUGGGUUCAGAACGUCGUGAGACAGUUCGGUCCAUAUCCGGUGUAGGCGUUAGAAUAUUGAGAGGAGCCUUCUUUAGUACGAGAGGACCGAGAAGGACAUACCUCUGGUGUACCAGUUAUCGUGCCAACGGUAAACGCUGGGUAGCUAUGUAUGGAGUGGAUAACCGCUGAAAGCAUCUAAGUGGGAAGCCCACCUCAAGAUAAGUAUUCUCACC